Molecule: long non-coding RNA, 281 nt
Organism: Neopsephotus bourkii (Bourke's parrot)
Lineage: Eukaryota; Metazoa; Chordata; Aves; Psittaciformes; Psittacidae
Exons: 2
Source: RefSeq, a predicted model, not a curated record
UUCUAACUAUCCCAAAAUUAUAAACUCAAGGGUUUGUGUAUGUACACACACACACAAGAAUAUGCAAAGCUUAUCUAGAAUGUAGGGAGAAAUAAGAACCUAAGUUGAGAUGCCAGUGCACGUCAACAGUAGCCAGAAGGUCCCAGUGAGAAUAAGUGUGGAAUUCCAACUGCAGGAUUGCAGGAACAAAAACUUUAUUUUUAUUACACUUCUAUAAUUAAAAAGUUGUAUCACUCUUCAGUUACAUUUAUCUAAAUAAAUGAACCGAGUAUGUGGUAUAA